RNAcentral lists this ribosomal RNA (254 nucleotides) under uncultured bacterium. RNAcentral's name for it is "partial 16S ribosomal RNA". It matches the Rfam family "Bacterial small subunit ribosomal RNA", at positions 524 to 776 of the family's 1533-position model. The record is from RNAcentral.
UACGUAGGGGGCAAGCGUUGUUCGGAUUUACUGGGCGUAAAGGGCGCGUAGGCGGCCACCGCAAGUCGACUGUGAAAUCUCCGGGCUUAACCCGGAAAGGUCAGCCGAUACUGCGGGGCUAGAGUGCAGAAGGGGCAACUGGAAUUCUCGGUGUAGCGGUGAAAUGCAUAGAUAUCGAGAGGAACACCUGCGGCGAAGGCGGGUUGCUGGGCUGACACUGACGCUGAGGCGCGAAAGCUAGGGGAGCGAACGGG